UGAGGAAUUUUGCGCAAUGGGGGAAACCCUGACGCAGCAACGCCGCGUGAGUGAUGAAGGCUUUCGGGUCGUAAAGCUCUGUCAAGUGGGAAGAACCUGCAGUAUGCCAAUAUCAUAUUGCACUGACGGUACCACUGAAGGAAGCACCGGCUAACUCCGUGCCAGCAGCCGCGGUAAUACGGGGGGUGCAAGCGUUAUUCGGAAUCAUUGGGCGUAAAGAGCACGUAGGCGGCCUGGUAAGUCAGAUGUGAAAGCCCUGGGCUUAACCCGGGAAGUGCAUUUGAUACUGUCAGGCUUGAGCAUGGGAGAGGGAAGUGGAAUUCCUGGUGUAGAGGUGAAAUUCGUAGAUAUCAGGAGGAACACCGGUGGCGAAGGCGACUUCCUGGACCAAUACUGACGCUGAGGUGCGAAGGCGUGGGUAGCAAACAGGAUUAGAUACCCUGGUAGUCCACGCAGUAAACGUUGUUCACUAGGUGUAGCGGGUAUUGACCCCUGCUGUGCCGCAGUUAACGCAUUAAGUGAACCGCCUGGGGAGUACGGCCGCAAGGUUA
RNAcentral lists this ribosomal RNA (551 nucleotides) under uncultured bacterium. RNAcentral describes it as "bacterial SSU rRNA". It matches the Rfam family "Bacterial small subunit ribosomal RNA", at positions 355 to 896 of the family's 1533-position model. The record is from RNAcentral.